RNAcentral lists this transfer RNA (66 nucleotides) under Schyzocotyle acheilognathi. RNAcentral describes it as "tRNA-Ser". The record is from RNAcentral. Lineage: Eukaryota; Metazoa; Platyhelminthes; Cestoda; Bothriocephalidea; Bothriocephalidae.
ACUCAUAACUUAUUUUAAGCUUUUGAUUUGAAAUCAAGAUGUUUGUUUUUAUUAACAAUGUGAGUU